RNAcentral lists this ribosomal RNA (399 nucleotides) under uncultured bacterium. RNAcentral describes it as "bacterial SSU rRNA". It matches the Rfam family "Bacterial small subunit ribosomal RNA", at positions 28 to 418 of the family's 1533-position model. The record is from RNAcentral.
GACGAACGCUGGCGGCGUGCCUAACACAUGCAAGUCGAGCGGGAACCUCAGGAGGGGUAACCCUUCUGAGGGGAGAGCGGCGAACGGGUGAGUAACACGUGGGCAACCUGCCCCGGACACCGGGAUAACCCAGGGAAACCUGAGCUAAUACCGGAUACUCCGGCGCGAUCGCAUGGUCGUGCCGGGAAAGCUCCGACGGUCCGGGAUGGGCCCGCGGCCUAUCAGCUUGUUGGUGGGGUAACGGCCCACCAAGGCGACGACGGGUAGCUGGUCUGAGAGGACGGCCAGCCACACUGGGACUGAGACACGGCCCAGACUCCUACGGGAGGCAGCAGUGGGGGAUCUUGCGCUAAUGCGCGAAAGCGUGACGCAGCGACGCCGCGUGGGGAUGAAGGCCUU